GGGGGUACAGCUCAAGUGGUAGAGCACAUGCCUGGUAUGCACGAGGUCCUGGGUUCAACUCCAGGACCGCCU
Molecule: transfer RNA, 72 nt
Filed under: Camelus bactrianus (Bactrian camel)
Lineage: Eukaryota; Metazoa; Chordata; Mammalia; Artiodactyla; Camelidae
Also listed under: 2 other names
Rfam family: tRNA
About the family: Transfer RNA (tRNA) molecules are approximately 80 nucleotides in length. Their secondary structure includes four short double-helical elements and three loops (D, anti-codon, and T loops). Further hydrogen bonds mediate the characteristic L-shaped molecular structure. tRNAs have two regions of fundamental functional importance: the anti-codon, which is responsible for specific mRNA codon recognition, and the 3' end, to which the tRNAs corresponding amino acid is attached (by aminoacyl-tRNA synthetases). tRNAs cope with the degeneracy of the genetic code in two manners: having more than one tRNA (with a specific anti-codon) for a particular amino acid; and 'wobble' base-pairing, i.e. permitting non-standard base-pairing at the 3rd anti-codon position.
Source: Rfam by way of RNAcentral